Daphnia carinata is the source of this 1201-nucleotide long non-coding RNA. RefSeq lists it as uncharacterized. The transcript is spliced from 6 exons. Lineage: Eukaryota; Metazoa; Arthropoda; Branchiopoda; Diplostraca; Daphniidae. The record is from RefSeq and is a predicted model, not a curated record.
UUUUUAUUUUUUUGUUUACCAUUCAAAAAGGGCAGUUUAAUUGUAAUUUUAAGAAUAGAUGUUUAAACAGUGCUGAAAACACUGAAAUUGAUUUAACGGAUAAAAAGCCCACUGAAAAUCUGUUAGGUAAACCAAUGCAGUUGCGCUUCGAUGCUUUUCGAAAACGAAAAUUAAAAAUUGUGAAAGUUCCAAUGUCACAAUCUACUAGAAAGUCAUAGGUAAAGUAAGUGAAAGUUUUGGUUUCUCUUGCACUUCUCCUUUACGUUAGGUACAGGACCUCAAUAUGAAGGCAUGUGGAGUCAUACGGGUCCCACCCAUGGCUUUCUUUGCGAGACAAAAUCAGCAGAGAGAAAUCAGUGAAUUUUAAGAAUAGCAACUUAAACGUAGAUUGGAAGCUACACUGAAAAACCACCAGAAAAGAAAAUUCAAGCAAAUAAAGGAACCACCGUAGAGGAAGACAAAAUAACAACUGAUGCAGCCAGAAUCGCAGUCCUUUUUGCUGUGGAAAAGGCAUGAAGAAACGGAAAGGGGUUAAACUAAUUGAAACCAGAAAUCUCUUUCUACUUACGUUUAUUUUUGUUUAUUUCCUUUCAUUCUUACAUUUUCCCCUUAGGUGUAAAGAAAAAAGACAUGAGGAGGCACCUUUAAAAUCUAGAAAAGACCAAUUUAAAAAAGGGGCCUCAAAAAGUAUACAAGACCAGAUAAAAGUUCUUGAAAAAACCGACGCUCACUUGAUUUUGACAUUGUAAAGGCAACUGAUGCAGCCCUAGAAACAGCCGAAGCUGCAGAAACAAAUUCUGUGGAAUUAUUUGAAGAUUGGGAGAUUGAACCAAUAUGCCAGUUGUUGGCGUAAGGAAAAUGGCAUAGAAAAUCAACUGCAAGAGUUCUAGAAAAUACAAUUAAAAAUACCUUUAUCUCAAAAACUAAAAAAUACCAAGAAAAAAUAGACCGAGUCUGUUUCCGUUUUUACGUAAUACGUACAUACGGACCUCCCACGUUUCAAAUUUUUGAAACAGCAACGAUGAAAACUACUUGCAGUGUACUGAAUAUCCAACAACGAUAAUUACCUCUAAAUAAAAGCACUACUGCUUUUUUCAAGUAUUGUUUUGCAUGGGGUUGAAAUUCGAACCACCAACGAUCGGUUUGAAAUAAAAAAAAACGAUAGAAAAAUAAAGCAUAAUAAAUAAUCUAUUCUAUUCUG